GAUGAACGCUGGCGGCGUGCCUAAUACAUGCAAGUAGAACGCUGAAGGAAGGAGCUUGCUCUUUCCGGAUGAGUUGCGAACGGGCGAGUAACGCGUAGGUAACCUGCCUGGUAGCGGGGGAUAACUAUUGGAAACGAUAGCUAAUACCGCAUAACAGUAGAUGUUGCAUGAUAUCUACUUAAAAGGUGCAAUUGCACCACUACCAGAUGGACCUGCGUUGUAUUAGCUAGUUGGUGAGGUAACGGCUCACCAAGGCGACGAUACAUAGCCGACCUGAGAGGGUGAUCGGCCACACUGGGACUGAGACACGGCCCAGACUCCUACGGGAGGCAGCAGUAGGGAAUCUUCGGCAAUGGACGGAAGUCUGACCGAGCAACGCCGCGUGAGUGAAGAAGGUUUUCGGAUCGUAAAGCUCUGUUGUAAGAGAAGAACGAGUGUGAGAGUGGAAAGUUCACACUGUGACGGUAUCUUACCAGAAAGGGACGGCUAACUACGUG
Molecule: ribosomal RNA, 497 nt
Filed under: uncultured bacterium
Lineage: Bacteria
Description: partial 16S ribosomal RNA
Rfam family: Bacterial small subunit ribosomal RNA
Source: RNAcentral